Molecule: long non-coding RNA, 309 nt
Filed under: Vigna radiata
Lineage: Eukaryota; Viridiplantae; Streptophyta; Magnoliopsida; Fabales; Fabaceae
Description: long non-coding RNA (VRAD_LNC012200)
Source: RNAcentral
CAAGUGAGACAAUGUUUUAAAUCAUCGUGGGUGGGUUCUGGAAUGCGAUGAGGAUAUUGACAGUGAAGAGACAAGAUGAAGCACAAUGUGGAAAGAGAGAAGAGAGAAAAAUAUGAAGAGAGAAGAUGGGUGAGGGUUUUGGGUUCUCUCAAAGAGAGAAGAUGAACCUCAGCGUGCGAAUAAACAAAAGAUAACUAUUAGAUCAAUUCUUUGUAUAACUGAUCUAAUAGGGGUUCAUAAUUUUCUUUUUCAAAAUUAAGAUAUUAGAUAAGCUUCUUCUAGGUGGAUAUUAGAAUGGUUCCUUCUAUA